UACUAGCGGUCCAAGUCGCAGCCAUUUUUAUUGGGUCUAAAACAUCCGUAGCUUGUUCGGUAAGUUUCUUGUGAAAUCUUGUCUCUUAAAGACAGGGCGGGCAGGAAAUACUGCCGGGCUAGAGACCGGGAGACGUAAUGAGUACGACUAAAGUAACGGUAAAAUGUUUUAAUCUUAGUCGGACUAACAAUAGCGAAGGCACAUUACGAGAACGGUUCUGACAGUAAGGGAUGAAAGCUAGGGGCGCAAAACGGAUUAGAUACCCCCGUA
Molecule: ribosomal RNA, 270 nt
Filed under: uncultured prokaryote
Description: partial 16S ribosomal RNA
Rfam family: Archaeal small subunit ribosomal RNA
Source: RNAcentral